RNAcentral lists this ribosomal RNA (461 nucleotides) under Streptococcus mitis. RNAcentral describes it as "bacterial SSU rRNA". It matches the Rfam family "Bacterial small subunit ribosomal RNA", at positions 28 to 474 of the family's 1533-position model. The record is from RNAcentral. Lineage: Bacteria; Bacillati; Bacillota; Bacilli; Lactobacillales; Streptococcaceae.
GACGAACGCUGGCGGCGUGCCUAAUACAUGCAAGUAGAACGCUGAAGGAGGAGCUUGCUUCUCUGGAUGAGUUGCGAACGGGUGAGUAACGCGUAGGUAACCUGCCUGGUAGCGGGGGAUAACUAUUGGAAACGAUAGCUAAUACCGCAUAAUAGUAGAUGUUGCAUGACAUUUGCUUAAAAGGUGCAAUUGCAUCACUACCAGAUGGACCUGCGUUGUAUUAGCUAGUUGGUGGGGUAACGGCUCACCAAGGCGACGAUACAUAGCCGACCUGAGAGGGUGAUCGGCCACACUGGGACUGAGACACGGCCCAGACUCCUACGGGAGGCAGCAGUAGGGAAUCUUCGGCAAUGGACGGAAGUCUGACCGAGCAACGCCGCGUGAGUGAAGAAGGUUUUCGGAUCGUAAAGCUCUGUUGUAAGAGAAGAACGAGUGUGAGAGUGGAAAGUUCACACUGGACG